CCGCUCUAAAGGUAAACCGCGAAUGGCUCAUUAAAUCAGUUAUGAUUCAUUUGAUCUCACUCCCAUUACUUGGAUAACCCUGGUAAUUCUAGAGCUAAUACGUGACAACAACUACUCCGACUGGAAGGGAGGAGUGCUUUUAUUAGAUGAAAACCAAUCGGGCCUCGGUCCGCCAAACACAAACUGUGCUGAUUCUGAAUAACUUUGUGCCGAGAGCACGGUCUCCGCGCCGGCUCCGUAUCUUUCGAGUUUCUGCCUUAUCAUGCUGUGGAUUGUAGGCCAUGCGCCUACUGUGGCUGUUACGGGUGACGGAGAAUCAGGGUUCGAUUCCGGAGAGGGAGCCUGAGAAACGGCUACCACAUCCAAGGAAGGCAGCAGGCACGCAAAUUACCCAAUCCCAGCUCUGGGAGGUAGUGACGAAAAAUAACAAUGCGGGACUCUUCCGAGUCUGCGUAAUUGGAAUGAGCACACUUUAAAUCCUUUAGCAACAACCAAUUGGAGGGCAAGUCUGGUGCCAGCAGCCGCGGUAAUUCCAGCUCCAAUAGCGUAUAUUAAAGUUGUUGCGGUUAAAAAGCUCGUAGUCCGAGUUCAGUUCCGGACUGGCCGGGGAGGUCACCGCCCGGUGCUUCCCCGUCAGGCUCCGAACAGCUUUUAUGACUAAAAGCCAAGCCGGUUUUCGCCGGGGUGCUCUUCACCGAGUGUCCCGCGCGGCCGGCCAGUUGACCUUGAAUAAAUGAGAGUGCUCAAAGCAGGCUACUCUUAAAAAUAAAGCCCGAAUGUUACCUGCAUGGAAUGAUGGAAGAUGAUCUCGGUUCCUUUUUUUAUGGGUU
RNAcentral lists this ribosomal RNA (830 nucleotides) under Manuscaris liui. RNAcentral describes it as "bacterial SSU rRNA". It matches the Rfam family "Eukaryotic small subunit ribosomal RNA", at positions 70 to 851 of the family's 1831-position model. Lineage: Eukaryota; Metazoa; Arthropoda; Malacostraca; Decapoda; Alvinocarididae. The record is from RNAcentral.